AGUGGGGAAUAUUGGACAAUGGGCGAAAGCCUGAUCCAGCCACGCCGCGUGAGUGAUGAAGGCCUUCGGGUCGUAAAGCUCUGUGGGGAGGGACGAACGUCCGGUUGAAGAAACCGGGGUGACGGUACCUCCUUAGCAAGCACCGGCUAACUUCGUGCCAGCAGCCGCGGUAAUACGAAGGGUGCAAACGUUGCUCGGAAUCAUUGGGCGUAAAGCGCACGUAGGCGGCAUUCUAAGUCGGAUGUGAAAUCCCUCGGCUCAACCGAGGACGUGCACCCGAAACUGGAACGCUCGAGUAUGGAAGAGGGUCGCGGAAUUCUCGGUGUAGAGGUGAAAUUCGUAGAUAUCGGGAGGAACACCAGUGGCGAAGGCGGCGACCUGGGCCAAUACUGACGCUGAGGUGCGAAAGCGUGGGGAGCAAA
Molecule: ribosomal RNA, 422 nt
Filed under: uncultured Haliangium sp.
Lineage: Bacteria; Pseudomonadati; Myxococcota; Haliangiales; Kofleriaceae
Description: bacterial SSU rRNA
Rfam family: Bacterial small subunit ribosomal RNA
Source: RNAcentral